RNAcentral lists this ribosomal RNA (1144 nucleotides) under Escherichia coli. RNAcentral's name for it is "partial 23S ribosomal RNA". It matches the Rfam family "Bacterial large subunit ribosomal RNA", at positions 1 to 1187 of the family's 2925-position model. The record is from RNAcentral. Lineage: Bacteria; Pseudomonadati; Pseudomonadota; Gammaproteobacteria; Enterobacterales; Enterobacteriaceae.
GGUUAAGCGACUAAGCGUACACGGUGGAUGCCCUGGCAGUCAGAGGCGAUGAAGGACGUGCUAAUCUGCGAUAAGCGUCGGUAAGGUGAUAUGAACCGUUAUAACCGGCGAUUUCCGAAUGGGGAAACCCAGUGUGAUUCGUCACACUAUCAUUAACUGAAUCCAUAGGUUAAUGAGGCGAACCGGGGGAACUGAAACAUCUAAGUACCCCGAGGAAAAGAAAUCAACCGAGAUUCCCCCAGUAGCGGCGAGCGAACGGGGAGCAGCCCAGAGCCUGAAUCAGUGUGUGUGUUAGUGGAAGCGUCUGGAAAGGCGCGCGAUACAGGGUGACAGCCCCGUACACAAAAAUGCACAUACUGUGAGCUCGAUGAGUAGGGCGGGACACGUGGUAUCCUGUCUGAAUAUGGGGGGACCAUCCUCCAAGGCUAAAUACUCCUGACUGACCGAUAGUGAACCAGUACCGUGAGGGAAAGGCGAAAAGAACCCCGGCGAGGGGAGUGAAAAAGAACCUGAAACCGUGUACGUACAAGCAGUGGGAGCCUCUUUAUGGGGUGACUGCGUACCUUUUGUAUAAUGGGUCAGCGACUUAUAUUCUGUAGCAAGGUUAACCGAAUAGGGGAGCCGAAGGGAAACCGAGUCUUAACUGGGCGUUAAGUUGCAGGGUAUAGACCCGAAACCCGGUGAUCUAGCCAUGGGCAGGUUGAAGGUUGGGUAACACUAACUGGAGGACCGAACCGACUAAUGUUGAAAAAUUAGCGGAUGACUUGUGGCUGGGGGUGAAAGGCCAAUCAAACCGGGAGAUAGCUGGUUCUCCCCGAAAGCUAUUUAGGUAGCGCCUCGUGAAUUCAUCUCCGGGGGUAGAGCACUGUUUCGGCAAGGGGGUCAUCCCGACUUACCAACCCGAUGCAAACUGCGAAUACCGGAGAAUGUUAUCACGGGAGACACACGGCGGGUGCUAACGUCCGUCGUGAAGAGGGAAACAACCCAGACCGCCAGCUAAGGUCCCAAAGUCAUGGUUAAGUGGGAAACGAUGUGGGAAGGCCCAGACAGCCAGGAUGUUGGCUUAGAAGCAGCCAUCAUUUAAAGAAAGCGUAAUAGCUCACUGGUCGAGUCGGCCUGCGCGGAAGAUGUAACGGGGCUAAAC